RNAcentral lists this ribosomal RNA (292 nucleotides) under uncultured bacterium. RNAcentral's name for it is "partial 16S ribosomal RNA". It matches the Rfam family "Bacterial small subunit ribosomal RNA", at positions 505 to 796 of the family's 1533-position model. The record is from RNAcentral.
GUGUCAGCCGCCGCGGUAAUACAGAGGUGGCAAGCGUUGUUCGGAAUUACUGGGCGUAAAGGGCGCGUAGGCGGCCUUCUAAGUCAGACGUGAAAUCCCCCGACUUAACCUGGGAACUGCGUCUGAUACUGGGAGGCUAGAGUGCGGGAGAGGGAUGCGGAAUUCCAGGUGUAGCGGUGAAAUGCGUAGAUAUCUGGAGGAACACCGGUGGCGAAGGCGGCAUCCUGGACCGACACUGACGCUGAGGCGCGAAAGCUAGGGUAGCAAACGGGAUUAGAAACCCCAGUAGUCC